This is an RNA transcript of Arabidopsis lyrata subsp. lyrata, 1583 nucleotides long. RefSeq lists it as uncharacterized. The record is from RefSeq and is a predicted model, not a curated record. Lineage: Eukaryota; Viridiplantae; Streptophyta; Magnoliopsida; Brassicales; Brassicaceae. The transcript is spliced from 2 exons.
CUCUGAAACAUAGUUGUGAUGUGAAAUCGCGGUCUAAGUACGGGAUGAAAGCAACACAAUCGAUUCUAGGUGAUUUGCUAAAAGCAAAAUAUGCGCAUGGGAAGAAGGGACCGAGGGCUUGUGAACUACCAGAGAUAGUAUUGGAAGAGCUAAACGUAACGAUAUCAUACAUGAAAGCUUGGCACGCGAAAGAGAUGGCAAUGAAAAGAGCUCGUGGUAGUGAGGAAGACAGCUAUAAGUUCUUGCAGACAUACCUGCAUCUAUUGAGGACAACCAAUCCAGGUACGUUGUCCACAGUUCAUACGGAUUACACUGAGGAGGGGAUAUUCGGUUCAAAUAUCUUUUUUUUUGCGUUUGGGGCUUCAAUUGCUGGGUAUAAGUAUCUGAGGAAAGUAAUAGUGAUAGAUGGAACACAAACGAAAGGAAAAUACAAAAGCUGUUUGGUUGCUGCGAGUGGACAAGACGGAAACUACCAAAUAUUCCCACUAGCAUUCGGUAUCAUUGACAGUGAGAACAUCGCAGGGUGGACGUGGUUUUUCGAACAGCUUUUGCAGAUUGUCCCUGAUGAGGAAGAUCUCGUCUUCGUCUCUGAUAGACAUGCAGCCAUUUAUGCUGGACUAAGGACGGUGUACCCUCUCGCAAAACAUGCGUGCUGCACUGUUCAUUUGUUUAGGAACGUUGUCCACCAUUUUAAGUGUGAGGGACUUGCGAAAAUGGUCUCCAAUGCGGCUAGAUCUUACACUGCAUGAGAUUUACGAUAUUGGUUUGAAGAAAUUCAAAGAAGAAACAUUAAGUGUGCCAAUUAUUUGGUAGAGAUAGGGAUUUCUCAUUGGACACUUGCUUACUUCCCGGGCAUGCGAUACAAUGUGAUGAGCAGCAACAUCUCGGAGUCCCUAAAUGCUGCAAUGCAAAAAGCCAUAGAUUUCCCCAUAGUGACGAUGGUGGAAUUCAUAAGGACAAUGUUAAUGCGUUGGUUUUGCGAAAGAAGAGAAGUUGCAACGAAAACUCGGACAAGAUGUACGCCGGAAAUCGAGGAAAUGCUAAUAGAUCAUCUUAAAGAAGCUACUGAUUGUGCAGUCAUAGCAGCAAGUGAAUGGAUUUAUCAAGUGAACGACGGUUUUGGAAUCGUUUUCACGGUGGAUCUAGAGAAGAAGACAUGUACUUGCAGGGUAUUUGAUGUGCUAAUGGUGCCGUGUUGUCACGCUUUGGCUGCGGUGGGGAUAAGGAACGUGGACAUAUACUCACUGGUCGGGAGCUAUGCAUUCGUGACGGAGUGGCGUAAGCUAUGGCGUGAGCAUAUUCUACCUCCGCCAAAGGAAAAGGACACCGAGGUCCCGAACACUAUUAGUGAGGUGGUUGUGAUUCCACCAAAAACAAGAAGACCAGGCGGGCGACCUAGGACUGUACGUAUACCAUCGCGGGGAGAGAAACAAGGCGCAAAUUGGAAAAAGAAGAAACCAAACAAAUGCACUACGUGUGGACAGGAUGGCCACAAUAGAGCAACUUGCAAAAAUCCUCUCUAAGGUUGGGGAUUAGAAUCCAUCCCCGGAUUUUGUUGGUUUUGUAGUUUGGAUAGUUAACGG